GCAAACUUGGUCAUUUAGAGGAAGUAAAAGUCGUAACAAGGUUUCCGUAGGUGAACCUGCGGAAGGAUCAUCAAUAGUCCUAAUACCUUUGUAUGUGAGUUGUUGUGGUAGUUUUACUACUACACUCUCACAUCACCCUUGUGUGCACUGUUAUUUGUGUCUUGGUGGACUGGGAGUGUGUAUAGUGUUGUCAUUACUAUUACUAUUGUUGUAGUGUGGCACGCCUCCCAGCCUGCCGUUAAACAUAUAUCUGACAAACUCUGUGAUAUUUUAUCAAGUUGUGUAAAUCUGUAUUGUUGUGCAGUGCCGUUGUUUAACAAUGUACUCACUACUAUAUAUACAAUAUCAUUACAACUUGCAGCGAUGGAUCUCUAGGCUCUGGCAUCGAUGAAGAACGCAGC
This 401-nucleotide unclassified non-coding RNA is filed under the name uncultured fungus. Its description in RNAcentral is "partial contains small subunit ribosomal RNA, internal transcribed spacer 1, and 5.8S ribosomal RNA". The stretch from base 1 to 73 matches the Rfam family "Eukaryotic small subunit ribosomal RNA", at positions 1759 to 1831 of the family's 1831-position model. The record is from RNAcentral. Lineage: Eukaryota; Fungi.